AGGCGGCUCAGGAGGGGCCAGAGCGGGGGCUGCCUGCCAUGUGCUUCCUGCGCCGCCCGAAGGAGGAGCGGGAUAGCCCUAGGAAGAAUCUGGAAAAGCAAGAAGUCCAGCUGAAUAUAUAAUUCAUCAACAUGUUUGGAGUUUGAGCAUACUCAUUCAAAUUACACACAUACGCGUGGACACAGAACAUAAUGUUUUUUCACUGGCCUGGCUGGCUUUUCAGCAGCUUUUCCAGUUGCAAGCUGCAAAUGUUUCAGUGCCCCCCCAUCAUCUCU
Molecule: non-coding RNA, 275 nt
Organism: Chelonoidis abingdonii (Abingdon island giant tortoise)
Lineage: Eukaryota; Metazoa; Chordata; Testudines; Testudinidae
Source: RefSeq, a predicted model, not a curated record